Molecule: long non-coding RNA, 1067 nt
Filed under: Anas platyrhynchos platyrhynchos (common mallard)
Lineage: Eukaryota; Metazoa; Chordata; Aves; Anseriformes; Anatidae
Description: lncRNA (ENSAPLG00000027552.1)
Source: RNAcentral
AGUUACCCGCCCCGUCCUGCCCUGUCUUUGCUGGGGCCGUGCCCCCCCCCGUCAGCCUCCCGAUUUGGGGCCGUUCGCUGCCCCCAGCCCCUUGUGGUGCUCUCACAGGGGCUGGGGGCACAGGGUGGGGGCUCCCCCCGUGGUGCUGGUGCCAGGCGCCCCGCAGAGAGGCUGGAGCCGGGUCCCUGCCGAGCGCCCUGCGCCCCAGCAGCUCGUUUUUCCUGUUCACCCCAAAUUAUUUUAAUGAUCCCUGCACUCGCUGCGUCUCCUCCCGCCCCAGUGCUGCGCUGCCGGGGCUGAGCUGGGACAGGGCAGGGGCAGCAGCCCCGGGGCCAGCAGCCCCCCUGCUCGUGGCCCCUCCGUGCUCUGCGCCCGCUCCUCGGGGGAAUUUUUCCAUUUCUGGAGGAUUUGGGGUUUUUCUGAGGUCUGUGUGCGCCCAUCCUCGGGGAUCGAAGCGGGAGGGGAGCUGUGAGCACAGCGGGGCCGUGGCCGCAGGAAUCCCCCGCUCGCAGCCAAACCCGGCAGCUUCCCUCCCGUGGGUUUGGGUGGGGGCUGCCCCCCGGGACCCGGCGGCUCCCCCCACCCCAAAACGAGCUCAGUCCCUUCUGGCUCAGCCGGGGCUCCGCUGUCCUGGGGAGCUGGUAGCCCUGAGCUGCCCGCUGCUGGUGGGUGAGGAUUUGGGGGGGAUUUAUGGGAUUUACACCACAGCACCCAUCGGUGCUUCAAUAUAAUUAUUUAUAAAAAAAAAAGCCACAGCUACCAGCAGAAAAACCCCAGCAGAGCAGGAGCAGGGGUGCAGGGUUGUGGGGGCGCUGCCCGGUGCCCCCCCAUCCUGGUGUGGUGGUUUUGGGGGAGUUUUUCCCGUUCUGUUGCUGCUGCUCCCUGGGACACGGCGGAAUCCCCUCGGCACCGGGCAUCCCCAGAGCCCUGGGUGCUGCUCCCCCUGCCCGGGGGCAGAGGGCAGGGCUCGGGGCAGCCUCUGCUGCCUGGGUUUGGUUUCUAACACUCGGUGCUGAGCUGGGGAGGGGGCAUCAGGGAGCGGGGGGGGGGCACAGAUCGGUUGCCCC